Molecule: long non-coding RNA, 1945 nt
Organism: Acanthochromis polyacanthus (spiny chromis)
Lineage: Eukaryota; Metazoa; Chordata; Actinopteri; Pomacentridae
Exons: 5
Source: RefSeq, a predicted model, not a curated record
ACAUUUUAGACAUUUGGGUAAGACAUUAACUAUGCCUGACAAGAGCUAUUGUAUUUGUAAAAUUUGUAUUUUAUUUGUGAAAACGUUUAAGGGGAUAUUUCACCGUUUUUGCUUUAUAACCAGUCCUUAUUAGACCAGGUCCAGAUUGAAAACCACUGUACCUACACUCCUCACAUCUGUACUCAACUAUUCUACAGAGCCUGAAAAUUCAUAAAAACAUAGUCUCUGAUUUGUGAAAACUUUAUUCUAUUUGUGAAAAUGCAAUAAAGGCACAUUUUACAGUUUUUUUCUCAUCCAGACCACAUUAGACCAGGUCCAGCUCGAGAACCGCUACACUUAGACUCUUCAAAUCUGGACUGAAUUAUUCUACAGAGCCUCUGAAUUCAUAAUAACAUAGUCUCUGAUUUGUGAAAACUUUAUUCUAUUUGUGAAAAUGCAAUAAAUGCACAUUUUACUGUUUUUUCAGCAUAUAGACCACAUUAGACCAGGUCCAGCUUGAGAACCGCUACACUUAGACUCUUCAAAUUUAGACUGAAUUAUUCUACAGAGCCUGUAGAUUCAUAAAAACAUAGUCUCUGAUUUGUGAAAACUUUAUUCUAUUUGUGAAAAUGCAAUAAAUGCACAUUUUACUGUUUUUUCAGCAUAUAGACCACAUUAGACCAGGUCCAGCUUGAGAACCGCUACACUUAGACUCUUCAAAUUUAGACUGAAUUAUUCUACAGAGCCUGUAGAUUCAUAAAAACAUAGUCUCUGAUUUGUGAAAACUUUAUUCUAUUUGUGAAAAUGCAAUAAAUGCACAUUUUACUGUUUUUUCAGCAUAUAGACCACAUUAGACCAGGUCCAGCUUGAGAACCGCUACACUAAGACUCUUCAAAUUUAGACUGAAUUAUUCUACAGAGCCUGUAGAUUCAUAAAAACAUAGUCUCUGAUUUGUGAAAACUUUAUUCUAUUUGUGAAAAUGCAAUAAAUGCACAUUUUACUGUUUUUUCAGCAUAUAAACCACAUUCGACCAGGUCCAGGUCGAGAACCGCUACACUUAGACUCUUCAAAUCUGGACUGAAUUAUUCUACAGAGCCUGUAGAUUCAUAAAAACAUAGUCUCUGAUUUGUGAAAACUUUAUUCUAUUUGUGAAAAUGCAAUAAAUGCACAUUUUACUGUUUUUUCAGCAUAUAGACCACAUUAGACCAGGUCCAGCUUGAGAACCGCUACACUAAGACUCUUCAAAUUUAGACUGAAUUAUUCUACAGAGCCUGUAGAUUCAUAAAAACAUAGUCUCUGAUUUGUGAAAACUUUAUUCUAUUUGUGAAAAUGCAAUAAAGGCACAUUUUACAGUUUUUUUCUCAUCCAGACCACAUUAGACCAGGUCCAGCUCGAGAACCGCUACACUUAGACUCUUCAAAUCUGGACUGAAUUAUUCUACAGAGCCUCUGAAUUCAUAAAAACAUAGUCUCUGAUUUGUGAAAACUUUAUUCUAUUUGUGAAAAUGCAAUAAAUGCACAUUUUACUGUUUUUUCAGCAUAUAGACCACAUUAGACCAGGUCCAGCUUGAGAACCGCUACACUUAGACUCUUCAAAUUUAGACUGAAUUAUUCUACAGAGCCUGUAGAUUCAUAAAAACAUAGUCUCUGAUUUGUGAAAACUUUAUUCUAUUUGUGAAAAUGCAAUAAAGGCACAUUUUACUGUUUUUUCAGCAUAUAGACCACAUUCGACCAGGUCCAGGUCGAGAACCGCUACACUUAGACUCUUCAAAUCUGGACUGAAUUAUUCUACAGAGCCUGUAGAUUCAUAAAAACAUAGUCUCUGAUUUGUGAAAACUUUAUUCUAUUUGUGAAAAUGCAAUAAAGGCACAUUUUACAGUUUUUUUCUCAUCCAGACCACAUUAGACCAGGUCCAGCUCGAGAACCGCUACACUUAGACUCUUCAAAUCUGGACUGAAUUAUUCUAC